RNAcentral lists this ribosomal RNA (1474 nucleotides) under metagenome. RNAcentral describes it as "bacterial SSU rRNA". It matches the Rfam family "Bacterial small subunit ribosomal RNA". The record is from RNAcentral.
AGAGUUUGAUCCUGGCUCAGAAUGAACGCUGGCGGCAUGGAUUAGGCAUGCAAGUCGAACGGUGAAGUGGAGCUUGCUCCGCGGAUCAGUGGCGUAAGGGUGAGUAACACGUGAGCAACUUGCCCCCAAGUUCGGGAUAGCCUCGGGAAACCGUGAUUAAUACCGGAUGCGGUGCUCCUUCUGCAUGGUUGGAGUUACCAAAGAUUCAUCGCUUGGGGAUGGGCUCGCGACCUAUUAGCUUGUUGGUGAGGUAACGGCUCACCAAGGCUGUGACAGGUAGCUGGUCUGAGAGGAUGGUCAGCCACACUUGGACUGAGACACUGCCCAGACUCCUGCGGGAGGCUGCAGUCGAGAAUCAUCCGCAAUGGGCGAAAGCCUGACGGUGCAAUGCCGCGUGAGGGAUGACGGCCUUCGGGUUGUAAACCUCUGUCACCCGGGACGAAGAAGUGACGGUACCGGGAGAGGAAGCCACGGCUAACUACGUGCCAGCAGCCGCGGUAAGACGUAGGUGGCGAGCGUUAUUCGGAUUUACUGGGCGUAAAGGGUCCGCAGGGGGCUUGUCUAGUCUGAUGUGAAAUCCCAAGGCUCAACUUUGGAACUGCAUUGGAUACUGGCGAGCUAGAGUCUGCAAGGGGUAACCGGAAUUCCAGGUGUAGCGGUGGAAUGCGUAGAUAUCUGGAAGAACACCGAUGGCGAAGGCGGGUUACUGGUGCAGUACUGACCCUCAUGGACGAAAGCGUGGGUAGCGAACAGGAUUAGAUACCCUGGUAGUCCACGCUGUAAACGUUGUGCACUAGAUGUGGGAGGUCUGAUCCCUCUCGUGUCCAAGCUAACGCGUUAAGUGCACCGCCUGGGGACUACGGUCGCAAGACUAAAACUCAAAGGAAUUGACGGGGGCCCGCACAAGCGGUGGAGCAUGUGGCUCAAUUCGAGGCAACGCGAAGAACCUUACCUGGGUUUGACAUGUACCGGACCGCCGGUGAAAGCCGGUUUCCCUUCGGGGCCUGUACACAGAUGCUGCAUGGCUGUCGUCAGCUCGUGUCGUGAGAUGUUCGGUUAAGUCCGGCAACGAGCGCAACCCGUGUCACUAGUUGCCAGCACGUUAUGGUGGACUCUAGUGAGACUGCCCGUGUCAAGCGGGAGGAAGGCGCGGAUGACGUCAAGUCAGUAUGGCUCUUACGUCCAGGGCUGCACACGUGCUACAAUGUCAGUACAAUGAGACGCGAAAUCGCGAGGUGGAGCAAAUCUCCAAAACUGGCCCCAGUUCGGAUCGGAGUCUGCAACUCGACUCCGUGAAGUCGGAAUCGCUAGUAAAGGUGCAUCAGCAACGGCACCUUGAAUACGUUCCCGGGCCUUGUACACACCGCCCGUCACAUCAUGGAAGCUGGCUGCACCCGAAGUCCACGACCUAACCCCUCGGGGAAGGAGUGGCCGAAGGUGUGUCCAGUAACUGGGAUGAAGUCGUAACAAGGUA